Long non-coding RNA from Aedes aegypti (yellow fever mosquito), 409 nucleotides. RefSeq lists it as uncharacterized. The transcript has 2 exons. Lineage: Eukaryota; Metazoa; Arthropoda; Insecta; Diptera; Culicidae. The record is from RefSeq and is a predicted model, not a curated record.
GGCUGUUGUUGUUUAGUAGAGUGAGUGAGAAAUGAGAGCAAAGUUGCGUUGCUGAGCCCGGAAUUUCAAAAUGUAGCUUUUAAAGCAAUAAUGUUCAUUCUUCAGAGUUAACCUUAUCCUUUAAGUGGUGAGUAAUCAUAUAUUGCCAAAACUAAUAUGGAAUGAUUAUAUUUUUAAUAUAUGUUUCAGUGGCCUAGCACAGAAUCAAUAUAAGUCUUGCUAUAUGGUUUGACUUCAUUGGAAAACUAUUGGAAGGACGAUUAAACCACAUUUUCAGCAAUCAUCUUUUUUUAGCAGACCAUCCCGAAAAAUCCAACAACUUAAGAUGAUCACCUAUUUCCGGUAGAGCAAUCUGUUUUUCAUAAAUAUUAAACCUAAAUGAAAAUAAAAAGUUUUAAUGGAAUGUUUA